GACGAACGCUGGCGGCGUGCCUAAUACAUGCAAGUAGAACGCUGAAGAGAGGAGCUUGCUCUUCUUGGAUGAGUUGCGAACGGGUGAGUAACGCGUAGGUAACCUGCCUUGUAGCGGGGGAUAACUAUUGGAAACGAUAGCUAAUACCGCAUAACAAUAGGUGACACAUGUCAUUUAUUUGAAAGGGGCAAUUGCUCCACUACAAGAUGGACCUGCGUUGUAUUAGCUAGUAGGUGAGGUAACGGCUCACCUAGGCGACGAUACAUAGCCGACCUGAGAGGGUGAUCGGCCACACUGGGACUGAGACACGGCCCAGACUCCUACGGGAGGCAGCAGUAGGGAAUCUUCGGCAAUGGGGGCAACCCUGACCGAGCAACGCCGCGUGAGUGAAGAAGGUUUUCGGAUCGUAAAGCUCUGUUGUAAGUCAAGAACGAGUGUGAGAGUGGAAAGUUCACACUGUGACGGUAGCUUACCGGAAAGGGACGGCUAACUACGUG
Molecule: ribosomal RNA, 497 nt
Filed under: uncultured bacterium
Lineage: Bacteria
Description: partial 16S ribosomal RNA
Rfam family: Bacterial small subunit ribosomal RNA
Source: RNAcentral